RNAcentral lists this unclassified non-coding RNA (735 nucleotides) under Hevea brasiliensis (rubber tree). Lineage: Eukaryota; Viridiplantae; Streptophyta; Magnoliopsida; Malpighiales; Euphorbiaceae. The record is from RNAcentral.
AGAAAAAUUCAGUUCAGAUUUCGGUUUUUCCGACUGUUUCAGGUAAGUUUAUACCUCAUAAGGAUAUCAGUUUGUCUCCGGUGAGUAAAUCCUCUCUCGUACUGUCCCACGCGCCGGUGAAUAUGGAUCGUUCGUGUUUAGGUUAUCUGAAAUGGGACGGGAAGACGGAGGCGGAGUUGGUGGAGGAGUUGAGGUUGGAUUCGGAGUUCGUCGUUGAAUCUGAGCCGUUGGAUCAAUUAGGAAGAGUGAAGAGUAGUAAGUUUUGUCUGUUCUUCUACGAAGCUGAAUCGACGUUGGAUUUGACUGAAGCAAUGGCGGCGGGAUGUGUUCCGGUAGUGAUUGUUGACCGUCCGGUUCAGGAUUUUCCGUUGAUGGACGUAUUGAGGUGGUCGGAAAUGGCACUGUUGAUCGGAAACCGCCGUGGAGGUCAGGGACUGAAGGCGGUCCUGAGCGGUGUGCCGGAGGAUAGAUAUCAGCGGAUGAGGGGAUUGUGUGUAGCGGCGGCUCACCAUAUGGUGUGGAACGCGGAACCUCAGGCGUACGAUGCUUUUCAUAUGGUGAUGUAUCAGCUGUGGAUGAGACGGCAUACGAUUAGAUACACUCGGAGGGAAGAAUUUUAGUGUUGAAAAUUCAAUUUCUUUUGCUUGUAGAAUUAGUAUAUGAUUAAUAAUACUAUAAUCCUAAUUAACGGGUCAAUAAAUUGUAUGCUGCCUUUAUAAUGAUUGUAAUUUGUUU